Lactuca sativa (garden lettuce) is the source of this 903-nucleotide non-coding RNA. The record is from RefSeq and is a predicted model, not a curated record. NCBI's taxonomy places the organism in Eukaryota, Viridiplantae, Streptophyta, Magnoliopsida, Asterales, Asteraceae.
AUAUAUGAUAUUUUGAUGUUUAAAAAGGACAUAUAUGAUAUUUUGAAAUUUUAUGAAUGGUAAAUAUGAUAUUUAGAAAAUUUAUGAAGGAUAAAUAUGAUAUUUAGAAAUUAAAUUUGGUAAAUAUGAUAUUUUGAUGUUUAAGAAGGGCAUAUAUCCCGUAUAGAAUAUUAAAACAAAACUUUCAAAUUCAAAUUCAAUAAGUGAUAAAAGCGUUUAUAUUGGGCUUUUAUAUUCAAUUUUCAGACUUUCUACAGCUCUCAAGUCUCAAGUAACCUAACGACUAACGAAAAGAGAAGCCUCUUGCCGCCAUUCCUGAUCAAUCUUCCCCUCCUGCUUCUAUUCCCACCGGUAACUUACCCAACAUCAAUGUACCUGAUCUCACCGAACAAUACCAGUGGGUCUUAAUCAAGCAGAAAAGAGUUCCAAAGAAAGCUCUCAACUUAAACCUGUACAAAUGAAACGUAAGAAAAGAGAGUCGUCUGGAGCUAUUAUAAAGCUUCUGGAGUUUCUAACUCAAUAAAUUGCUACUCAAAAACGUGUUUUAGAAAUAUUAGAGUCAGAUUUCUCUUCUAUCAGCCAAAGCCAUGAUUUUGGUAUAAAUGCAGCUGUAAAUCUGAUUAACCGAAUGGUGGAUGAUGAAAUAAUGACACAAGGGAGCGAGUUGUGGUGCUUUGCAAUGUGUUUAUUUGAAGAUGCAGUGAAGAGGGAAUUAUUUAUAAGUCUUCCAGAUGAUGAUGGCAGAUUGGCAUGGCUGAAGUAUAAGAAAGACGUUGGCAAAUAAAUUUACUUGUUUAACAUUUCAUUACGAUCAGAUUAAAUUAGUUUUGUUUGUUUAUUUUCAUCUGGAUACUUGUUUAGUUGAUUUAUUUCAAUUUUUAAUGCUACAUCUAUGAUUUAUUA